This 254-nucleotide long non-coding RNA is filed under the name Fukomys damarensis (Damara mole-rat). RNAcentral describes it as "lncRNA (ENSFDAG00000023887.1)". The record is from RNAcentral. Lineage: Eukaryota; Metazoa; Chordata; Mammalia; Rodentia; Bathyergidae.
CAUUUGGAUACAAGGCCACUAUGGGAGGAUGGGAGAGGAAUGUUCUUUCGAUCCAAAACAUCUAUUUCUUUUUGACAGGCUAAAGAACAGUGGUAUUGAGUGCAAACACAUUUACUCACUGCUCCAAAAGGGCCCAGGAAAUUGACGACAAGUUGUUAAAGCAAAGAAAACGCUGUGUUUAGUAAGCCAGCAAGCCCUAGGAGAUGGCUGGAUGAGCACACUGAAAGGCCAUCUUUACACUGGCUCGAAGCUCG